Long non-coding RNA from Exaiptasia diaphana, 350 nucleotides. RefSeq lists it as uncharacterized. NCBI's taxonomy places the organism in Eukaryota, Metazoa, Cnidaria, Anthozoa, Actiniaria, Aiptasiidae. The record is from RefSeq and is a predicted model, not a curated record. The transcript is spliced from 3 exons.
CAUCAAUGACAAUUUCCCACAAUUCACAAGACAGAUGUACGAAUUCUUCCUUCCUGAGGGAGAUUAUUCACUACACGAAUUCCUUGUUGGAAGGACUGCUGCAUCUGACAAGGACGCUGGUACGUCUAGCUGUUCUUCAAGUCAGGGACAAAUUCGUUACAAAAUCGUGAAUGAAACAGGUCGAGGCAAGUGAUAAAGACAUAGGUGAAAAUUCCAAUAUAACGUUUUCCAUAUUUUCUGGUAAUACUGGUGGAGCAUUCCUUAUCGAUGGGCAGACAGGUCAAAUCCAGGUUGCUGGGAAACUGGACCGAGAAACACAGAACAGAUAUGAAUUAAUCGUCGAUGCAACU